RNAcentral lists this ribosomal RNA (257 nucleotides) under uncultured bacterium. RNAcentral's name for it is "partial 16S ribosomal RNA". It matches the Rfam family "Bacterial small subunit ribosomal RNA", at positions 795 to 1052 of the family's 1533-position model. The record is from RNAcentral.
CUAUGCUGUAAACGGUGGGCGCUAGGUGUGGGGACCUUCCACGGUUUCUGUGCCGUAGCUAACGCUUUAAGCGCCCCGCCUGGGGAGUACGGCCGCAAGGCUAAAACUCAAAGGAAUUGACGGGGGCCCGCACAAGCGGCGGAGCAUGUGGAUUAAUUCGAUGCAACGCGAAGAACCUUACCUGGGCUUGACAUAUACGGGAUCGCUGCAGAGAUGUGGUUUCCCUUGUGGCUCGUAUACAGGUGGUGCAUGGUUGU